GAUGAACGCUGGCGGCGUGCCUAAUACAUGCAAGUCGAGCGAACAGACGAGGAGCUUGCUCCUCUGACGUUAGCGGCGGACGGGUGAGUAACACGUGGAUAACCUACCUAUAAGACUGGGAUAACUUCGGGAAACCGGAGCUAAUACCGGAUAAUAUAUUGAACCGCAUGGUUCAAUAGUGAAAGACGGUUUUGCUGUCACUUAUAGAUGGAUCCGCGCCGCAUUAGCUAGUUGGUAAGGUAACGGCUUACCAAGGCGGCGAUGCGUAGCCGACCUGAGAGGGUGAUCGGCCACACUGGAACUGAGACGCGGUCCAGACUCCUACGGGAGGCAGCAGUAGGGAAUCUUCCGCAAUGGGCGAAAGCCUGACGGAGCAACGCCGCGUGAGUGAUGAAGGUCUUCGGAUCGUAAAACUCUGUUAUUAGGGAAGAACAAAUGUGUAAGUAACUAUGCACGUCUUGACGGUACCUAAUCAGAAAGCCACGGCUAACUACGUG
This 497-nucleotide ribosomal RNA is filed under the name uncultured bacterium. RNAcentral describes it as "partial 16S ribosomal RNA". It matches the Rfam family "Bacterial small subunit ribosomal RNA", at positions 28 to 507 of the family's 1533-position model. The record is from RNAcentral.